AACGAACGCUGGCGGCAUGCCUAACACAUGCAAGUCGAACGAGACCUUCGGGUCUAGUGGCGCACGGGUGCGUAACGCGUGGGAACCUGCCCUUAGGUUCGGAAUAACUCCCCGAAAGGGGUGCUAAUACCGGAUAAUGUCUUCGGACCAAAGAUUUAUCGCCUUUGGAUGGGCCCGCGUUGGAUUAGCUAGUUGGUAGGGUAAAAGCCUACCAAGGCGACGAUCCAUAGCUGGUCAGAGAGGAUGAUCAGCCACACUGGGACUGAGACACGGCCCAGACUCCUACGGGAGGCAGCAGUGGGGAAUAUUGGACAAUGGGCGAAAGCCUGAUCCAGCAAUGCCGCGUGAGUGAUGAAGGCCUUAGGGUUGUAAAGCUCUUUUACCCGGGAUGAUAAUGACAGUACCGGGAGAAUAAGCACCGGCUAACUCCGUG
This 433-nucleotide ribosomal RNA is filed under the name uncultured bacterium. RNAcentral's name for it is "partial 16S ribosomal RNA". It matches the Rfam family "Bacterial small subunit ribosomal RNA", at positions 29 to 507 of the family's 1533-position model. The record is from RNAcentral.